Non-coding RNA from Oryza meridionalis, 201 nucleotides. The record is from Rfam. Lineage: Eukaryota; Viridiplantae; Streptophyta; Magnoliopsida; Poales; Poaceae.
UUUAAGUGCAACCAUAAGUUUUCGCGCCUAACUUUAAUCGUCCAUCUUAUUUGAAAUUUUUUUAUAAUUAAUAUUUAUUUUAUGAGAUGAUAAAAUAUAAAUAGUAUUUUACUGGCGACUUAUGUUUUAAUUUUUUUAAAAAAUAAUUUCAAAUAAGAUAGUAGCUCAGAAUUUGACGCAUAAAACCAUGCUGCACUUAAA